GAUGAAGAACGCAGCGAAAUGCGAUAAGUAAUGUGAGUUGCAGAAUUCAGUGAAUCAUCGAAUCUUUGAACGCACAUUGCGCCCCCUGGUAUACCGGGGGGCAUGCCUGUCCGAGCGUCAUUACAACCCUCAAGCUCAGCUUGGUGUUGGGCCCCGCCGCCCCGGCGGGCCCUAAAGUCAGUGGCGGUGCCGUCCGGCUCCGAGCGUAGUAAUUCUUCUCGCUCUGGAGGUCCGGUCGUGUGCUCGCCAGCAACCCCCAAUUUUUUUCAGGUUGACCUCGGAUCAGGUAGGGAUACCCGCUGAACUUAAGCAUAUCAAUAAGCGGAGGA
This 329-nucleotide unclassified non-coding RNA is filed under the name soil metagenome. RNAcentral's name for it is "partial contains 5.8S ribosomal RNA, internal transcribed spacer 2, and large subunit ribosomal RNA". The stretch from base 1 to 120 matches the Rfam family "5.8S ribosomal RNA", at positions 35 to 154 of the family's 154-position model. The record is from RNAcentral.